RNAcentral lists this ribosomal RNA (451 nucleotides) under uncultured bacterium. RNAcentral's name for it is "partial 16S ribosomal RNA". It matches the Rfam family "Bacterial small subunit ribosomal RNA", at positions 29 to 523 of the family's 1533-position model. The record is from RNAcentral.
AACGAACGCUGGCGCCAGGCUUAACACAUGCAAGUCGCACGAAGGUUUCGGCCUUAGUGGCCGACGGGUGAGUAACGCGUAGGAAACUAUCCAUGGGUGGGGGACAACACUGGGAAACACGUGCGAAUACAGCAUCAUACCGGACGGUCAAAGGCGCGGGUAGCCUGUGGAGGAGCCUGCGUUCGAUUAGCUAGUUGGUGGGGUAAAGGCCUACCCAGGCGAUGAUCGAUAGCUGGUUUGAGAGGAUGAUCAGCCACACUGAGACUGAGACACGGCCCAGACACCUACGGGAGGCAGCAGUGGGGAAUAUUGGACAAUGGGGGCAACCCUGAGCCAGCAAUGCCGCGUGUGUGAAGAAGGUCUUCGGAUUGUAAAGCACUUUCGACGGGGACGAUGAUGACGGUACCCGUAGAAGAAGCCCCGGCUAACUUCGUGCCAGCCGCCGCAGUAA